Molecule: long non-coding RNA, 550 nt
Filed under: Capsicum annuum
Lineage: Eukaryota; Viridiplantae; Streptophyta; Magnoliopsida; Solanales; Solanaceae
Description: long non-coding RNA (CANN_LNC013335)
Source: RNAcentral
UUGGUGUCUUUGUUAGUUGAAAAAGCUUAAGUUUUGGUGACUUUAAUAGUGAACUAGUGUUUAGAAGGUGAUGUUGUUGGUGACUUUAUUUGUUGAAAAUGCUUAAAUUUUGGUGACUUUAAUAGUGAAUUAGUGUUUAGGAGGUGAUGUGGUUGGUGACUAUUAUUAGUUAAAAAUGCUCAAGUUUUGGUGACUUUAAUAGUGAAUGUGUUUAGGGGGUGAUGUGGUUGGUGACUUUAUUAGUUGAAAAUGCUUAAGUGCCGGUGACUUUAAUAGUGAAUUAGUUUCGUUGGUGCCUUUGUUAGUUAAAAAACCUUAAGUUUUGGUGACUUUAAUAGUGAAUUAGUGUUUAGGAGGUGAUGUGGUUGGUGACUUUAUUAGUUGAAAAUGCUUAAGUGCCGGUGACUUUAAUAGUGCAUUAGUUUCGUUGGUGCCUUUGUUAGUUAAAAAACCUUAAGUUUUGGUGACUUUAAUAGUGAAUUAGUGUUUAGGAGGUGAUGUGGUUGGUGACUUUAUUAGUUGAAAAUGCUUAAGUGCCGGUGACUUUAAA